GUGGGGAAUAUUGGACAAUGGGGGGAACCCUGAUCCAGCCAUGCCGCGUGUGUGAAGAAGGCCUUUUGGUUGUAAAGCACUUUAAGCGAGGAGGAGGCGCCCUAGAUUAAUACUCUAGGAGCGUGGACGUUACUCGCAGAAUAAGCACCGGCUAACUCUGUGCCAGCAGCCGCGGUAAUACAGAGGGUGCGAGCGUUAAUCGGAUUUACUGGGCGUAAAGCGUACGUAGGCGGCUUUUUAAGUCGGAUGUGAAAUCCCUGAGCUUAACUUAGGAGUUGCAUUCGAUACUGGGAAGCUAGAGUAUGGGAGAGGAUGGUAGAAUUCCAGGUGUAGCGGUGAAAUGCGUAGAGAUCUGGAGGAAUACCGAUGGCGAAGGCAGCCAUCUGGCCUAAUACUGACGCUGAGGUACGAAAGCAUGGGGAGCAAACAGGAUUAGAAACCCCUGUAGUCC
This 451-nucleotide ribosomal RNA is filed under the name uncultured bacterium. Its description in RNAcentral is "partial 16S ribosomal RNA". It matches the Rfam family "Bacterial small subunit ribosomal RNA", at positions 354 to 796 of the family's 1533-position model. The record is from RNAcentral.